GGGGAUUUAGCUCAGUGGUAGAGCGCUUGCCUAGCAAGCACAAGGCCCUGGGUUCGGUCCCCUGCUCCG
Non-coding RNA from Rattus norvegicus (Norway rat), 69 nucleotides. The record is from Rfam. Lineage: Eukaryota; Metazoa; Chordata; Mammalia; Rodentia; Muridae.